GAUGAACGCUGGCGGCGUGCCUAAUACAUGCAAGUCGAGCGAAGAGGGGACGGGUGAGUAAAACGUGGAUAACCUCCUAUAAGACUGGGAUAACUUCGGGAAACCGGAGCUAAACCGGAUACUUAUAGAUGGAUCCGCGCUGGAUUUGCUGGUUGGUAAGGUAACGGCUAACCAAGGCAACGAUGCAUAGCCGACCUGAGAGGGGGAUCGCCACAACGGGAACUGGGACACGGUCCAGACUCCAACGGGAGGCACAAGGAGGGAAUCUCCCGAAAGGAGCGAAAGCCUAACGGAGAAACGCCGCGUGGGGAAGAAGGGUCUUCGGAUCGAAAGACUCUUUAAUUGGGAAGGCGGUACCUAAACAGAAAGCCACGGCUAACUACGUGCCAGCAGCCGCGGUAAUAC
RNAcentral lists this ribosomal RNA (405 nucleotides) under uncultured bacterium. Its description in RNAcentral is "partial 16S ribosomal RNA". It matches the Rfam family "Bacterial small subunit ribosomal RNA", at positions 28 to 526 of the family's 1533-position model. The record is from RNAcentral.